This 208-nucleotide unclassified non-coding RNA is filed under the name uncultured Agaricales. RNAcentral's name for it is "sequence contains ITS2". Lineage: Eukaryota; Fungi; Basidiomycota; Agaricomycetes; Agaricales. The record is from RNAcentral.
AAUUCUCAACCUCAUCGCUUUUGUGAUGAUGGCGCUUGGAUGUGGAGGUUUCUGCAGGCCGAAAGGUCUGCUCCUCUCAAAUGAAUUAGUGGGUGCCCCGCGCAAACCUAUCUAUUGGUGUGAUAAUUAUCUACACCGUGGUCUAGGAUUGCUGUAAAAAGGUGUUUGCCCUGCUUCUAACCGUCCAUUGACUUGGACAACUUGAACC